This 69-nucleotide transfer RNA is filed under the name Lampadena luminosa. Its description in RNAcentral is "tRNA-Trp". It matches the Rfam family "tRNA". From Rfam's summary of the family: Transfer RNA (tRNA) molecules are approximately 80 nucleotides in length. Their secondary structure includes four short double-helical elements and three loops (D, anti-codon, and T loops). Lineage: Eukaryota; Metazoa; Chordata; Actinopteri; Myctophiformes; Myctophidae. RNAcentral also lists the same sequence under 1 other name. The record is from RNAcentral.
AAGGGUUUAGGCUAACUAGACCAAGAGCCUUCAAAGCCCUAAGUGGGGGUGAAAAUCCCCCAACCCUUG